Molecule: long non-coding RNA, 1064 nt
Organism: Homo sapiens (human)
Lineage: Eukaryota; Metazoa; Chordata; Mammalia; Primates; Hominidae
Gene: SNHG14
Product: small nucleolar RNA host gene 14
Source: Ensembl
GUGGUGAGCCCGGAGGAGGACUUGCGUUCGGCCCGCUGGUCCCAGUGUGUCCGGAAUUGGUGGGUUCUUGGUCUCACUGACUUCAAGAAUGAAGCUGCGGACCCUCGCUAUGAUGAUAUGGAAGAAAAGCACUCUUUGGCCUGUUGUGACUGGGACAGUUGACAGCACCCAGGUGUCCUUUAAUGAAAAUGCUCUUGACACCAAUGCAUCCUAGCAUCACAGCUUCAGGAAGCCUUCUCAAGUGUGCAUGGGGAGUACUAUGUCUUUCAUCAAUAAUGAAAUCUUCUGAUUUGUAAGACAUGCUGCCAAGAGAUGUGCCAUUCUAUUAUAAAAGAUCAGUAGCUUCCUUUACCGACGUGUAUAUUCUAUCUAGAACAUUGAGCUAUGGAAGACUCCCACCUAAGGGAAUUAGUUUUACACCUUCAGAUAAAGACUGCUGAGAAGAGCACCCUCUGGUGUUGUCACAGAGGCAAGUGCUACCGCACAGGCAUGCUGCAGUGAAUUUAACUGAUCCUCUGUCCCUGCAACCGUUGUUUAAGGAUGCUAUUCUGAAAAGACUGUGGAGGAAGAAAACCCUUUACCCUGUUGUUCAGGGAGAAACUGACACCACUCAACUGCCUGGCACUGAAAAUGUGGCAUCCAGUCCACUUUACCAUCAGUGUUUAAGGAAACCAUCUCUGAUAAGGAUGACUGAGGAAGAGUACUCUUUGGCUUGUUGACACCAGCACAGCUGACACACCCAGAUAUCUGUUUGGUCUCCUGUGAACUUUCAACCAGGAUUUAAGGAUGCCACUCUGGUUAAAAGCUGAAACAACUUCAAGGAAACUUCAGGGAAAAGAGAAGGCCUGGAAUCUGAUCCUCCACUUCAGAGAACAGGGGUCAGCUUACUGUAUGAUUAAGUAACACAAGGCACAGUAGCCAUCUUUUUCAUUAUGUUGCAACACUGAUCACGUGCCUCGAUAAAAUGGCUGAUUCAACAAGAUGAUGGCAACACGAAGGGGAGACUUUGGAUUGUCUAUUUAAAAUCUAGGUAAUAAGUAAGUAAUUAAUAAAAACUCUAUCUU